Molecule: long non-coding RNA, 899 nt
Filed under: Brachypodium distachyon (stiff brome)
Lineage: Eukaryota; Viridiplantae; Streptophyta; Magnoliopsida; Poales; Poaceae
Description: long non-coding RNA (BDIS_LNC002108)
Source: RNAcentral
AUCGAGUAGCAUUGUAGCAUCGGUGAGUCGUUGUUUCAACACAAUUACAUAGAAGAAAAAAAAGAUAACCACAGGCUACACUUAACAUCCAUCCACCAAACAAACCAAUUGUGCUCUUCUACUCUCUGAAAAAGCUCGAUGCAAGGGGAGGGGCCGAGGCCGGACGGCGGCGUAGCCGGCCGGACCCCUCGCGCGGCUGCCUCUCGUGAACGAGGAAGGAAGAGGAAGCGGGGUCCGGAUCUAGCAAAGAGCAGGCUACAAUUAACACUAAGAGCAGAAAUCAUAAAUUCCCAAAAAGGAAAAUUAAGAACAAAUCGGGAGGAAUGGGAGAACAAAUCUGCUUGGGCGGGUCUGCCUCGAUGGAGAAAUCGCAGGGGAGCCUUCAGGCGUCGGCCAACAGAGGAAGCAGCGUGGGUAGGCGGAGGAGGAGACGGGCCGGCGUCCGUGGAGAGGGGGUCGCAGCCAUCCAUGGAGACGAAGUCGCCGUCGUAUUCGUGGAGGCUUCAGGUGUUGGGCGUCGGUCAGUGGUCUGGCGUAUGCGGGCCAGCAGAGGAGAAGUUCGGGGGCCGGCGGAGGAGACGGAUCCUGGGGAGGCGGGCCGGCGGCAUCCGCAGGCAGCGCUGCAUUGGGCUGCUCUCUCGGGAGACGAGGUGGGGAGAGAACGAGGGGAGGGAAAGGGGAAUAAGGCAAGAAAACGAUUCGAGUCACAGAGUGGCAUUUGGAUGUAAAUACGGAAUAAGUGACGAGGGUAAAAGGGUGUGGGAUAUUUCACAAGCUCCAGCGAGGAGUAGAAGCACCGAAAUAGGUGCUUGUGCUCUCUAGUACAAAUUCGGCUAGAGCUUUUUCUCUCCAGCUAGCUGCAGAUGAGGUGUUUGUUUUAGCUUGUUGGCUUGUGGUCA